This 253-nucleotide ribosomal RNA is filed under the name uncultured bacterium. RNAcentral's name for it is "partial 16S ribosomal RNA". It matches the Rfam family "Bacterial small subunit ribosomal RNA", at positions 524 to 776 of the family's 1533-position model. The record is from RNAcentral.
UACAGAGGUCCCAAGCGUUGUUCGGAUUCAUUGGGCGUAAAGGGUGCGUAGGCGGCGCGGUAAGUCGGGUGUGAAAUCUCGGGGCUUAACUCCGAAACUGCAUUCGAUACUGCCGUGCUUGAGGACUGGAGAGGAGACUGGAAUUUACGGUGUAGCGGUGAAACGCGUAGAUAUCGGGAAGAACACCCGUGGCGAAGGCGAGUCCCUGGACAACUCCUGACACUGAGGCACGAAAGCUAGGGGAGCAAACAGG